UGGGAAUGAGAGUUUAAAAGAAAUGCAUGCUGAGUGCGGCAGCUGCUGGGAGCAAACAUGAGUUUAUCUUGUGUUGACUUUGGUUAUCUGUGUUCCUGGCGUCUUCCCAACUGUGUGUUUUGCCGUGUUUUCAAGUCUGCAAUUCCUUCUCCUGCCCUGUCAAGUUAAUUACUUCAGUUUGAUUUGUUUGGAUUUUUAGUUACACUCUGUAUGUACUUUGUUUUGGACUGAAUUUCCUCCUCUUAAAGGCUGUCCCUGGGAGAGUUUUUCUCCAGCUAGAAGGUAACCUGGACAUUGGGGGCAAAGUUGGAGAUAAUAAAGGGACUUUUCUUGCUUAUCUAACUGGGUUGUCUUUGUGCCACGCCCCUUUGGGUCAUCACAACAUGUCAGAGAAGCUGUAAUAGUGCUGUGCCAUGCCCGGGUCAUCACAGGAACUGUUGAAUGACACAAAUUAUCCGACACUAUUGAGGAAGCCCCCCCUUUUUUUAAAAAAAAAAGAUUAUUAAAGCCGAAAGACGGAGAGCAGGUAUGUAAGCUUCCGUUAGCUAAGUGAUACUGAUCGAUAGGACAAGGAAUGUCAACAGUAUUUAUAGUGCUACACCUGUUCCCUUGCACACAACUUGGGGCAACAGCCUCUUUGGAUGGAAACAAGCCGGUUUAAUUUCCUUCCUCCCUGGAAGGGACGUGCCUCGGCUGUAGAGGACUCUAAAUUAAACGCGCUUUCUUCCUUGCCCAGGUUCAAAAGGAAAUACCGACUGAAAUACGUCGAAAAGCGAGCUUUCCGGGAAAUCACAUUAUAGAAGCGCAAAAAUUAGCAUCCCGAGAUCUCCCACGUGUUUCAUUAAAACGCCGCAAACCAACCUCGAGUCUGUUUUGCUGGAUUCUUUCCCCUUUCCUCUGGGUUAUCCUCCCCCCCACCGCCUUCAACCAACCAGAGACCCUCGUCUCUUCUCCUUUGUCUUUAACCCUGGAGACGAUAUUCCAGGGGGUGCGAAAAACUUGGGUUUAGAAGUUUCCAAAUUAUAGUGUGUGUGUGCAGAAUUAUUAUAUGCUUAUCGUUAUUUUUGAAGAGGUGCGUGAGAAUAUACCGUGUUUCCACAAAAAUAAGACCCUGUCUUAUAUAUUUUUUUGGGCCACCCCAAAAGGCACCAGGUCUUAUUUUCGGUGGGUGUCAUCCACUGACUAACCUCACUUGUGCGUGUCGCCCCCCGGCCUCCUUUUCGCUGUCAGAGGCCUUCAGGAACUACUUCUUCUGUAGCCAGCUUUCCUGAAGGCCUCUGCAGCC
RNAcentral lists this long non-coding RNA (1285 nucleotides) under Pseudonaja textilis. RNAcentral's name for it is "lncRNA (ENSPTXG00000019038.1)". The record is from RNAcentral. Lineage: Eukaryota; Metazoa; Chordata; Lepidosauria; Squamata; Elapidae.